GGAACCUUAGCUCAGUUGGUAGAGCUACCGGCUCAUAACCGGUUGGUCGCAAGUUCAACCCUUGCAGGUUCCACCA
Molecule: transfer RNA, 76 nt
Filed under: Mailhella sp.
Lineage: Bacteria; Pseudomonadati; Thermodesulfobacteriota; Desulfovibrionia; Desulfovibrionales; Desulfovibrionaceae
Also listed under: 1 other name
Description: tRNA-Ile
Rfam family: tRNA
About the family: Transfer RNA (tRNA) molecules are approximately 80 nucleotides in length. Their secondary structure includes four short double-helical elements and three loops (D, anti-codon, and T loops).
Source: RNAcentral